This is a non-coding RNA of Nomia melanderi (Alkali bee), 297 nucleotides long. NCBI's taxonomy places the organism in Eukaryota, Metazoa, Arthropoda, Insecta, Hymenoptera, Halictidae. The record is from RefSeq and is a predicted model, not a curated record.
GUUUCGGCAACUUCGUGACACGAAUCACAAACGAACCGCUGGUGAACUAUACGAUCAUCGUUGAAUUACGUAUACAAUUCCCGGGAAAAUUGUCUUGUACUCAUCUCGAGCGUAACAUUACAUCGUGUCGACGUUUUCACACAUCUUCUGUUGAUGACAGAAGUUGCGAUGGGUUCGACACACGAAAAGUUCGACCAUGAUCGUCGCAUAUUUCAUUGCCACAGCUGAACGAACGACAAAGGAAAAGGAAAUUCGAUAAACAGCGAAGCGAAGAGGGAUAGUCACGUAUAACGUAAG